This 69-nucleotide transfer RNA is filed under the name Rattus norvegicus (Norway rat). It matches the Rfam family "tRNA". Rfam says of the family: Transfer RNA (tRNA) molecules are approximately 80 nucleotides in length. Lineage: Eukaryota; Metazoa; Chordata; Mammalia; Rodentia; Muridae. The record is from Rfam by way of RNAcentral.
GGGGAUUUGGCUCAGUGGUAGAGUGCUUGCCUAGCAAGCACAAGGCCCUGGGUUCAGUUCCCAGCUCCG